UAGGCUGCAACUCGCCUACACGAAGUCGGAAUCGCUGUAAUCGCAGAUCAGAAUGCUGCGGUGAAUACGUUCCCGGGUCUUGUACACACCGCCCGUCACACCAUGGGAGUCGGAAAUGCCCGAAGCCGGUGACCCAACCAAAAGGAGGGAGCCGUCGAAGGCAGGUCUGAUAACUGGGGUGAAGUCGUAACAAGGUAGC
Molecule: ribosomal RNA, 199 nt
Filed under: uncultured bacterium
Lineage: Bacteria
Description: partial 16S ribosomal RNA
Rfam family: Bacterial small subunit ribosomal RNA
Source: RNAcentral